CAAGAGUUGAUAAUUUCAGCUCAGUCCACCGAUCGCAGCGGCCACACUGACCCAAGCUCACCAAUGAUUCUCCUCUUUAACGCAAAGAAAAACCAACCAUGCUGACAAGAAGAGCCUGUCGCCUCAAGAGAGACGCCCUUCGAAGCCAGGAAGGAGCCCCAAUGUCUCCCACCGAGGAGCAUUCACAAUGCUGCGACUGGGCUCUUCUUCCCGCGAGGACCCAAAGACAAACCCAGCAGGACACAAGGCAGGAAGCGCUGGAUCAACAGGAGCCGGCCCCGAAAACGACCAAAACCAAGGACAGAAUCAACAAGACCACGACCAUCAAAAGAGACUGGAAAACAAAGAUC
Long non-coding RNA from Pungitius pungitius (ninespine stickleback), 350 nucleotides. RefSeq lists it as uncharacterized. Lineage: Eukaryota; Metazoa; Chordata; Actinopteri; Perciformes; Gasterosteidae. The transcript is spliced from 3 exons. The record is from RefSeq and is a predicted model, not a curated record.